This is a long non-coding RNA of Pomacea canaliculata, 623 nucleotides long. RefSeq lists it as uncharacterized. The record is from RefSeq and is a predicted model, not a curated record. Lineage: Eukaryota; Metazoa; Mollusca; Gastropoda; Architaenioglossa; Ampullariidae. The transcript is spliced from 4 exons.
GCUCACCUCCACGUUUUUCGCUCAGUGAACAGUGUGUGACAUUCCCACCGCAGCCGCCGAGACGCUUGGUCCUACCUGUACAGGUGUGAAUACAGACAGAGGAAUCUGUGCAUUUAGUUCCUUGCCCAAUCAAGUUACAGGAACUAAUGUGGAGGAACAGUUAUGGAAGACCCGCUGAAACAGAUCCCUAACUACAGGAGGGCCUGAGAACCUUCUUCCUACACCGGACCCACCCAGGGGUGACUGUCAACCGAGGGAGGACUGGGUGGCUCGAUUUUAUCCGGGUAGCCCUGGAGUUUCUUCCCUUGUGGGUCGUCGAGGAAUCGAACAUCCUGUCAACGUUUCCACUGAUGUCCAGACCAAAGAGUGUGGAAGUGUCUACCAGCAUUUGUGUUUCCAUGGAAAUAUGUGCAGUGGCUUGUUCGUGUAGUUGCUAGUGUGACAGCGCACCUGCCUGGCAGUGAAAGGGUGGGAGAAGAGCAUUCCUGGCGCUGAGGUUCGUGAGAGUAUCCUACAUCGGGACUGCAGAUGUCGGGAAUGCAUGGACCGCCACUAGUGUGUGAUGUGAUCUCAUGUAAGAAAGAAGGCGAAAUGAUAGGAUUAGAAGUAGCUUGUUGUAAACA